AAACCAUGAUGAGGACACAUUCUUAAAAGAUCCUUAAAUCUCUUUCAGGCAUCAUAUAAUGUCUCCAAAUCAAUUUGAGCAAAAGAAGAGAUGUCAUUCCUCAACUU
RNAcentral lists this small nucleolar RNA (107 nucleotides) under Gossypium hirsutum (cotton). RNAcentral describes it as "Plant small nucleolar RNA R71". It matches the Rfam family "Plant small nucleolar RNA R71". Rfam says of the family: R71 is a member of the C/D box family of snoRNAs containing the C (UGAUGA) and D (CUGA) box motifs. Multiple nearly identical copies of this snoRNA have been identified in Arabidopsis, and it is thought to function as a 2'-O-ribose methylation guide for 18S ribosomal RNA. Lineage: Eukaryota; Viridiplantae; Streptophyta; Magnoliopsida; Malvales; Malvaceae. The record is from Rfam by way of RNAcentral.